CCUACGGGAGGCAGUAGUGGGGAAUAUUGGACAAUGGGGGGAACCCUGAUCCAGCCAUGCCGCGUGUGUGAAGAAGGCCCUCGGGUUGUAAAGCACUUUCAGUGAGGAAGAACGCCUGGUGGUUAAUACCCAUCAGGAAAGACAUCACUCACAGAAGAAGCACCGGCUAACUCCGUGCCAGCAGCCGCGGUAAUACGGAGGGUGCGAGCGUUAAUCGGAAUUACUGGGCGUAAAGCGCGCGUAGGUGGCUUGAUAAGCCGGUUGUGAAAGCCCCGGGCUCAACCUGGGAACGGCAUCCGGAACUGUCAAGCUAGAGUGCAGGAGAGGAAGGUAGAAUUCCCGGUGUAGCGGUGAAAUGCGUAGAGAUCGGGAGGAAUACCAGUGGCGAAGGCGGCCUUCUGGACUGACACUGACACUGAGGUGCGAAAGCGUGGGUAGCAAACAGGAUUAGAUACCCUGGUAGUC
Molecule: ribosomal RNA, 465 nt
Filed under: Vreelandella stevensii
Lineage: Bacteria; Pseudomonadati; Pseudomonadota; Gammaproteobacteria; Oceanospirillales; Halomonadaceae
Description: partial 16S ribosomal RNA
Rfam family: Bacterial small subunit ribosomal RNA
Source: RNAcentral